GAAAGCCCCGGGCUAAAUACGUGCCAGCAGCCGCGGUAAUACGUAUGGGGCAAGCGUAUCCCGGAAUUAUUGGGCGUAAAGAGUGCGUAGGUGGUACUAAGCGCAAGGUUUAAUCUUGAGGCUCAACCUCAUUCUGCCUGCGAACUGGGCUACUUGAGUGCUGGAGGGGAAAGCGGAAUUCCCAGUGUAGCGGUGAAAUGCGUAGAUAUUGGGAAGAACACCGGUGGCGAAGGCGGCUUUCUGGACAGUAACUGACACUGAGGCACGAAAGCGUGGGGAGCAAACAGGAUUAGAUACCCUGGUAGUCCACGCCGUAAACGAUGAGCACUAGUUGUUGGGUCCGAAUGGAUUCAGUGACGCAGUUAACGCAAUAAGUGCUCCGCCUGGGGAGUACGGUGGCAACACUAAAACUCAAAGGAAUUGACGGGGACCCGCACAAGCAGCGGAGCAUGUGGUUUAAUUCGAAGCAACGCGAAAAACCUUACCAGGGCUUGACAUCCCUCUGACCGCACUUUAACAGGUGCUUUCUUCGGACAGAGGUGACAGGUGGUGCAUGGUUGUCGUCAGCUCGUGUCGUGAGAUGUUGGGUUAAGUCCCGCAACGAGCGCAACCCUUGCCGUCAGUUACUAACAUUAGGUUGAGGACUCUGACGGGACUGCCGAGGUCAACUCGGAGGAAGGUGGGGAUGACGUCAAAUCAUCAUGCCCCUUAUGUUCUGGGCUACACACGUGCUACAAUGGUCGGUACAAUGAGAAGCAAGAUGGCGACAUGGAGCAAAUCACCAAAACCGAUCCCAGUUCGGAUUGCAGGCUGCAACUCGCCUGCAUGAAGUCGGAGUUGCUAGUAAUCGCGAAUCAGCAUGUCGCGGUGAAUGCGUUCCCGGGUCUUGUACACACCGCCCGUAC
RNAcentral lists this ribosomal RNA (905 nucleotides) under uncultured bacterium. Its description in RNAcentral is "bacterial SSU rRNA". It matches the Rfam family "Bacterial small subunit ribosomal RNA", at positions 486 to 1399 of the family's 1533-position model. The record is from RNAcentral.